RNAcentral lists this ribosomal RNA (927 nucleotides) under Microbacterium resistens. Its description in RNAcentral is "bacterial SSU rRNA". It matches the Rfam family "Bacterial small subunit ribosomal RNA", at positions 56 to 993 of the family's 1533-position model. The record is from RNAcentral. Lineage: Bacteria; Bacillati; Actinomycetota; Actinomycetes; Micrococcales; Microbacteriaceae.
UGCAGUCGACGAUGAAGCUGGGGCUUGCUCUGGUGGAUUAGUGGCGAACGGGUGAGUAACACGUGAGCAACCUGCCCUGGACUCUGGGAUAAGCGCUGGAAACGGCGUCUAAUACUGGAUACGAGACGUGGCCGCAUGGUCAACGUUUGGAAAGAUUUUUCGGUCUGGGAUGGGCUCGCGGCCUAUCAGCUUGUUGGUGAGGUAAUGGCUCACCAAGGCGUCGACGGGUAGCCGGCCUGAGAGGGUGACCGGCCACACUGGGACUGAGACACGGCCCAGACUCCUACGGGAGGCAGCAGUGGGGAAUAUUGCACAAUGGGCGGAAGCCUGAUGCAGCAACGCCGCGUGAGGGAUGACGGCCUUCGGGUUGUAAACCUCUUUUAGCAGGGAAGAAGCGUGAGUGACGGUACCUGCAGAAAAAGCGCCGGCUAACUACGUGCCAGCAGCCGCGGUAAUACGUAGGGCGCAAGCGUUAUCCGGAAUUAUUGGGCGUAAAGAGCUCGUAGGCGGUUUGUCGCGUCUGCUGUGAAAUCCCGAGGCUCAACCUCGGGCCUGCAGUGGGUACGGGCAGACUAGAGUGCGGUAGGGGAGAUUGGAAUUCCUGGUGUAGCGGUGGAAUGCGCAGAUAUCAGGAGGAACACCGAUGGCGAAGGCAGAUCUCUGGGCCGUAACUGACGCUGAGGAGCGAAAGGGUGGGGAGCAAACAGGCUUAGAUACCCUGGUAGUCCACCCCGUAAACGUUGGGAACUAGUUGUGGGGUCCUUUCCACGGAUUCCGUGACGCAGCUAACGCAUUAAGUUCCCCGCCUGGGGAGUACGGCCGCAAGGCUAAAACUCAAAGGAAUUGACGGGGACCCGCACAAGCGGCGGAGCAUGCGGAUUAAUUCGAUGCAACGCGAAGAACCUUACCAAGGCUUGACAUACACGA